AUGGGAUGCUGUGUCAGGAAUCACAGGGGGGAUGCAGGUGGUACAGGGCGGUGCUGUCAAUACUCUGCUAACAAAACAACCUUAGAUACUAAUGUAUUUAACCCUUCCCCACCUCAAAUUCUACUUUAAUACCAAGAACCCUUUUUCUGCUGAGGGCACUCAUUUCCCACCUCCUGCCACAGGUCACCUGGUUUGGAGAUUUGUUCUGAGCUCCUACCUGACUCCUGGUGUCCACAGUGCUGCUCUGGCUGCAUAUCCUUCCUCUGUCCCACCCCAUGGUGAAAAUGUGUCCACAGUGAACAGGAAUGAGACCUGCAUGGUGUGGACCGUCCAGGGAGGCAGGCCGGAAAAGCAGGUGGAGACCUGGUGCCUGUCUUCCUGGGCAGUGAUCCCUCAUACGUGCCCACCUUCCUGGGUACCUGCAGAGCUUUUGCCACCAACCAAUAGCACUUGACCUGCUGUUCAAAAAUGUGGAUGCAUCCUCCCUUACUCUGAUGAGGAUGGCAGACCCCUAGACCAACUGAAAAAAGCUCAACAUGCCCUGCUUGGACCUAGAGUGCCAUGCCUACCUCCUCCUGGCAAAAACCUAGAGCUUCAUGAGUCCAUUGAUGCCAAGGGUAAGGAGGACUGAGGGUGAGGAGACUUGAGUGAUGUGGGCUGUGGGGAGGGGAGAGUGUUGGGUCACACAAAGCUGAGCCUCCAGAGGCUGAGGUUGGGCGAGGAGCAAUGAGUAGCCUCAGAUCACUAUUCACCUGGACUGCAGUCUGGGAAGACCUCCUGGGGGUGCGUUCUUGGACAGAGACUUCAGUAACUGGCAGUGAGAGAUUUCCUGUCUUUGGAGGGCACAUGGAAAGGUAAUCAUGUGGAUGGUAUUUUCUUUUCUUGGAGCUACAGCACCAGCUCCACAACAAGCCCUAGAACCACUUCAAGAGCUAGCACCAGCUCCAACUCAACUGCCCACUACAGCUCCAGAGCCAGAUCAGACUCAGGCCCAGUUUUCGUUUAAGCUCUAGAGCUAGAAGAAGCAUGUACGCAGGCUCCAAUUCCAGAGCCAGAGGAAUUCAAGCAACAGCUCUCACCCAAGCUCCAUAGCUAGAACCAUCACAAAAACCUGUUCUAGUAUUUGCUCCAGAACUCUAGCCACUUCCGUCCAUAGCCUCGAUUCCAGAGCUUAAGCCUACACCAGCAAGAGCCCUACCAUUAGUUCUUGAGCUCCAUAGUGCUUUGGCACAGCUCCAGCUCCAGAGCGUAAUCUGGUUCCAGCUCUAGAUCUAGAGACAACAAUAGACCCAGUUCUUAUAGUUACUCCAGUGCCAGAUCCAGUUCCUCCCCCAGUAUACUAGAGCUGGUACCAGCUCAACAACUAGCACCAGCCCCUGCAGCAUCUCCAGGUCCCGGUCCUUAGCUGCAACUAGUGCCAGCUGCAGCCCCAGAGACUUCCUUCCCCUCCCCUAUAAUUCCACUUUUUAAAAUUUUGUUUUUUUCUUAUAUAUACUCAAUAUUUUACUCUAUUCUAGUGUAUAAAAUUCCCUUAAAAU
This 1538-nucleotide long non-coding RNA is filed under the name Equus caballus (horse). RNAcentral's name for it is "lncRNA (ENSECAG00000048800.1)". Lineage: Eukaryota; Metazoa; Chordata; Mammalia; Perissodactyla; Equidae. The record is from RNAcentral.